AUGUGAAGCCAGACUGGUACUGAGCAGUACAACCUAAGACUGAAGAUGUUUGAGUUGCUGUGUCUCAGCACCAUAAGCUGGUACUGCUUAAAGAGAUGCCAUGGUUUUUCUCUGGGAACAAGGUGUGUGCACACCAAAAAGCACCACGGAGGAACUGGAGCCUUGGCAGGACCAGGAGGGUGCCCAGAGCAGCUCUGCAAGGAAAGUGAGUGCCUUCACUCCUCUGUCAUCACCAGUCCCUGA
RNAcentral lists this long non-coding RNA (243 nucleotides) under Serinus canaria (Common canary). RNAcentral's name for it is "lncRNA (ENSSCAG00000012257.1)". Lineage: Eukaryota; Metazoa; Chordata; Aves; Passeriformes; Fringillidae. The record is from RNAcentral.